Molecule: ribosomal RNA, 527 nt
Filed under: uncultured Thermoplasmatales archaeon
Lineage: Archaea; Methanobacteriati; Thermoplasmatota; Thermoplasmata; Thermoplasmatales
Description: bacterial SSU rRNA
Rfam family: Archaeal small subunit ribosomal RNA
Source: RNAcentral
UCGGCGGACUGCUCAGUAACACGUGGAUAACCUGCCCUCAGGUGGGGGAUAAUCUCGGGAAACUGAGGAUAAUACCCCAUAGGCCAUUGAUGCUGGAAUGCUCUCUGGCCGAAAGCUCCGGCGCCUGAGGAUGGGUCUGCGGCCUAUCAGGUAGUAGUUGGGGUAACGGCCCAACUAGCCUGCGACGGGUACGGGCCUUGAGAGAGGGAGCCCGGAGAUGGACUCUGAGACACUAGUCCAGGCCCUACGGGGCGCAGCAGUCGCGAAAACUUCACACUGCGGGAACCCGUGAUGAGGGAACCCCAAGUGCCUGGGCAUUAGCUCAGGCUGUUCACCUGUCUAAAAAACAGGUGGAGUAAGGGCUGGGUAAGACCGGUGCCGGCCGCCGCGGUAAUACCGGCAGCCCAAGUGGUGACCAUUUUUAUUGAGCCUAAAACGUCCGUAGCCGGUCCGGCAAAUCCCUGGGCAAAUCGGGCAGCUCAACUGUUCGACUUCCAGGGAGACUACCGGACUAGGGACCGGGAGAG